GAAACUUGGAAAUAAAAUUAACUGAAACAGAUCUAUGAGGUACUAUAUGGAACCGGUGGUUAAGAUCCUGGCAAAGGAGUGGGCUGAUUUUUGUAUAGCCGGGUGACGUAUGCAUUUACUACACUCUUUAUUUUGACGUUUGUUUUUGUUUCUAUUUUGAUUUUUUUUUAGUUCUUUUUUCCUUUGAUUUUUCAUCUUUUUCAGACCUUAGCUGUCUCACUCUAUAUAGCUAAAUUUAUUUACCUAAUGAAUGAAGCUGAUAACGUGCUAUCUUUCUCUCUAAAAAAAAAAAAAAUCCUCAUUACCACUAAUUACUGUUAGAUGUAUGCCCUAGAAGCCAACCAGGCCGACACAUAUAUUCUUUCUAGGACAUAAAUUUGUAUUUGACUUUAAAAUAUUAUGAAUAAAUUUGGGUUAUUAUUUUCAUUCAUGUUGUGUAUGUGUCCAUGAAUCGUCCAAGAAAUUAAUAAGAUGAUGACAUAUAUUCUCAAGAGUUGAGAAUUUGAGACAUGUGUCAUUGGUGNAUCAUCAAAUUGAGGCAAGGAUUUAUCCGCGAAAAAGGUAAUGAUUCGAUCUUACUUUUCUCCUUUAAUCUUAAAGAACAUGAGGGAUCCUAAUUGUGUGGUUUUGAGAUUUGAUCUCGAGAGUUUUUCAAAAAUCAAAUUUGUUUGAUUUCUUUUUCCGCUGCGUUUUUACCGUACGUAAUUUUCUAACAAUUACAUGAAUCAGUCAAAUUCUUUUCUGACCAUCGUAUACACAAAUACAUAUAUACCACUUUUCUCCAAUCGUGGAAAAUAUAGAAUUUUUACAAAUUGAAAUAUUAAUUUAUAUUU
Molecule: long non-coding RNA, 833 nt
Filed under: Ananas comosus (pineapple)
Lineage: Eukaryota; Viridiplantae; Streptophyta; Magnoliopsida; Poales; Bromeliaceae
Description: long non-coding RNA (ACOM_LNC022680)
Source: RNAcentral